Molecule: ribosomal RNA, 660 nt
Filed under: uncultured Methanosarcinales archaeon
Lineage: Archaea; Methanobacteriati; Methanobacteriota; Methanomicrobia; Methanosarcinales
Description: bacterial SSU rRNA
Rfam family: Archaeal small subunit ribosomal RNA
Source: RNAcentral
CCCUAUGGGGUGCAGCAGGCGCGAAAACUUUACAAUGCUGGCAACAGCGAUAAGGGAACCUCGAGUGCCAGGUUACAAAUCUGGCUGUCGAGAUGCCUAAAAAGCAUUUCAUAGCAAGGGCCGGGCAAGACCGGUGCCAGCCGCCGCGGUAACACCGGCGGCUCGAGUGGUAACCGUUAUUAUUGGGUCUAAAGGGUCUGUAGCCGGCCGGAUAAGUCUCUUGAGAAAUCUGGCAGCUUAACUGUCAGGCUUUCAGGAGAUACUGUCUGGCUCGAGGCCGGGAGAGGUGAGAGGUACUUCAGGGGUAGGGGUGAAAUCUUGUAAUCCUUGAAGGACCACCAGUGGCGAAGGCGUCUCACCAGAACGGACCUGACGGCAAGGGACGAAAGCUAGGGGCACGAACCGGAUUAGAUACCCGGGUAGUCCUAGCCGUAAACGAUACUCGCUAGGUGUCGGCCACGGUGCGACCGUUGUCGGUGCCGUAGGGAAGCCGUGAAGCGAGCCACCUGGGAAGUACGGCCGCAAGGCUGAAACUUAAAGGAAUUGGCGGGGGAGCACCACAACGGGUGGAGCUUGCGGUUUAAUUGGAUUCAACGCCGGAAAUCUUACCGGGACCGACAGCAAUAUGAAGGCCAGGCUGAAGACUUUGCCGGAUUAGCU